CAAGGGUGGAGGACCAAAAGAGAAAUAAUCCGCCUCCCUAAAACGCUGCACAGUAAUAGGGACUGAUUUGAAGUAAAAAUAGAAUGUGCAGUGAAAUUUAAAAGAAAUCAGAAAUUUAAUUUAAACACACUGCAAAAAUAGGGGGACCAAUUGCGCAAAUUCCCCCAUGCUACAAAACACGCGGAUUUGGGACCAGAUCGGGUCGGUGCAUGGGUUGGCCCCCAAAACGACGCCGUUUUGGGCGUCUAGGGGGCCUAAUGAAACGACACCGUAUUGCCUUAUUAUUUAAACAAAAUUUUCUGUUUUAAAAAUCAUUUGACAGCCCACUUUCUAAAACAACAAAAAAACCGUUGCCCCCUUUCUCUCUGCUAGGGUUUUGACCCUAGCAUCUUUAUGUCGCCGUGCCGCCGCUCCUUCGCCACUGCUCCGCCAAGGACGGCAAUCUUUGGCCAACGAGAAGACCACGGACCUCCGAUUCGGCCAACUGGAGAUGUACGUGGGACACGUACGUGCGCAAAGGGUGGUGGUGCGGGGCUGAUGUGCGGCGGCUAGGGUUGAAGGUUGUAUGCUGCUAGGGUUCCUGUUGGAAUUUAGUUAGUGGGCUGUUGGGGUUUGGGCCUGUAAAAACUUAGACUGCUUAUUUUUUGUUUUGUAAGGGCCCGGGUAAAUUGGGCUUAUUACAAUCUCCUUAUACGACGAAUCAUAAUCCCCAUACAAUUACUCCAA
Long non-coding RNA from Gossypium raimondii (Peruvian cotton), 726 nucleotides. RefSeq lists it as uncharacterized. The transcript has 2 exons. The record is from RefSeq and is a predicted model, not a curated record. Lineage: Eukaryota; Viridiplantae; Streptophyta; Magnoliopsida; Malvales; Malvaceae.